RNAcentral lists this long non-coding RNA (201 nucleotides) under Elaeis guineensis (African oil palm). Its description in RNAcentral is "long non-coding RNA (EGUI_LNC042717)". Lineage: Eukaryota; Viridiplantae; Streptophyta; Magnoliopsida; Arecales; Arecaceae. The record is from RNAcentral.
CCACAAGAUCAUAAACAAACUUACCAUCUCUCAAUAGAUGAUCAUUCGAGUACAAAAUCCAAACCAAUUGAUAAACAAUCUCACAUUCUUUUUAAAAGAUAAAGAAGCAUCAGCUUCAAUAUUUCAAAUUCAAGAUCAAUAACCAAUGGUCCACUCAUCCUAAUAUACUAAAUAUUUCUUUAACAUAAUAGAGAGUAGACA